Molecule: ribosomal RNA, 49 nt
Filed under: Trichuris sp. C1
Lineage: Eukaryota; Metazoa; Nematoda; Enoplea; Trichinellida; Trichuridae
Description: partial 28S ribosomal RNA
Source: RNAcentral
GACCUCAGAUCAGACGAGGCUACCCGCCGAACUUAAGCAUAUGCUAGCG